Non-coding RNA from Podarcis lilfordi (Lilford's wall lizard), 69 nucleotides. The record is from the annotation of a GenBank genome assembly. NCBI's taxonomy places the organism in Eukaryota, Metazoa, Chordata, Lepidosauria, Squamata, Lacertidae.
GCAGUAAUUCAGUGGUAGAACACCUGAUUUGAAUGCAGAAGGUUACAGGUUCGAUCCUUGGCAACUCCA